Molecule: long non-coding RNA, 1038 nt
Organism: Microcebus murinus (gray mouse lemur)
Lineage: Eukaryota; Metazoa; Chordata; Mammalia; Primates; Cheirogaleidae
Source: RefSeq, a predicted model, not a curated record
GAGGGCGUUUCCCGGCCGGGGGGACGCUCCGCUCCGGGUUUUCCCGGCGACUUGCAUCCGCGGAGGGUCGGGAGCCCCGCGGGCUGGCCGCUCGCUGCCCUCUAGCUCUGGCUGGGCGGGAGGCCCGCGGGGGCGUCGCGCCCUGUGGAGAAAGCCAACCUCUGAGGGGGGCUUGGGGCAAAGAUGAGGCGGGGCAUGGGCGUCCUGAGGGGAGCGGAACAACUGGAUGUUUAGUUUUACUUCACUUGCUCCCUUCGCUUCUCCCUGCUCCCCUUCCCCAAAACUUUCUCUUCCGGGGUCAGGCGGGACUGCGCCCCGGAGCGUACCUUGCGCGGCGUGGGCGCCUGGAGCUACGGGACUCGGUGUGGGAGGGUGUGAGGUGCUUCCCCGCCCUCGGUGCUACUUUCCCGGCUUGCUUGUGAGCUCGCUGCCCGCAGCGGCCCCGCACGCGCUCCCGGCCCUGCCGUGCCCGCCGGCGCCCGGGCAGCGCCUGCAGGCUUCGGCCACCGCAGUGUGUGCACACAGUGCGAGGCAGGCUCCCUCCCCGUGCCGCCGAAAGCAUCUGAGGCGGGGAGUUUGCGACAUUCCCACAGAUGUGGAUGCUCCCGGCCAGCAGCCCUAGAGCAGAAACGAGCUGGCUGAGAAACAUGGUAAGGCUGAUUUUCUGCCACCCUUCAUAGAAAACUGUGGUUCCUGACUGAGAGACUUGUGGAAAGAUCACUUACUUUGGGGAAGCCGGCUGCCAUGUUGAGCAGCCCAGUGGAGAGGUCCACAUGGUAAGGAAUUGGAGCUGCUGGAAUAAGGAUAGCUGCUGAUGACAGCUAUCAAAGAACUGAGGUUUCUUGAUAAUAGUCAUAUAAGUGAGCCAUGUUGCAAGGCAAUUCUUCAGCCCCAGUCAAGUCUUCGAAUGACUGCAGUAAUAGCUUGACUGAAACCUCAUGACAAAUCGUGACCCAGACCACUCAGCUAAGCUGCUCCCCAGUCUUGACCCUCAGAAACUGUGUAAGACAAUAAAUGUUUGUUGGUUUAAGCUGCUAA